Clostridiales bacterium CHKCI006 is the source of this 243-nucleotide regulatory RNA element. It matches the Rfam family "T-box leader". From Rfam's summary of the family: Uncharged tRNA acts as the effector for transcription antitermination of genes in the T-box leader family. T-boxes are found upstream of many aminoacyl-tRNA synthetase genes and some amino acid biosynthetic genes usually in Gram-positive bacteria. Lineage: Bacteria; Bacillati; Bacillota; Clostridia; Eubacteriales. The record is from Rfam.
GAAAAGGCUUAGAAAAGGAAGAGUACAUCAGUUGCGUAUGCCAGAGAAAUCCCGUUUUGGUGAGAGGGAUCAUACAAGAUUGGUCGAACACACCUUGGAGCUGACUAGGCGAAAGAAGAGUAGUCUAUUCCGGAACCCUGUACCCGUUAUCGUACUAGCGUAUGAUUGUACGCGAAGAGGUGAUUGUCGUGAGGCAAUCAUAAAAAGAGGUGGAACCACGGUAGCAAUGCUCUCGUCCUCUGG